AAAGUACUCCCUCCGUUCGAAAAUACUUUUCAGCGAAAUGGAUGUAUCUAGACGUAUUAUAGUUCUAGAUAUAUCUAAUUUUAUCCAUUUAUGCGACUAGUAUUUUCGGACUGAGGGGGUAGUAA
Molecule: non-coding RNA, 125 nt
Organism: Triticum aestivum (bread wheat)
Lineage: Eukaryota; Viridiplantae; Streptophyta; Magnoliopsida; Poales; Poaceae
Source: Rfam